Molecule: ribosomal RNA, 293 nt
Filed under: uncultured bacterium
Lineage: Bacteria
Description: partial 16S ribosomal RNA
Rfam family: Bacterial small subunit ribosomal RNA
Source: RNAcentral
AACGAACGCUGGCGGCAGGCCUAACACAUGCAAGUCGAGCGCGCCUUCGGGUGAGCGGCGGACGGGUGAGUAACGCGUGGGAACGUGCCCUUCUGUUGAGGAUAGCCCCGGGAAACUGGGAGUAAUACUCGAUACGCCCUACGGGGAAGAGGAUCGGCCCGCGUUAGAUUAGGUAGUUGGUGAGGUAACGGCUCACCAAGCCUACGAUCUAUAGCUGGUUUAGAGGAUGAUCAGCCACACUGGGACUGAGACACGGCCCAGACUCCUACGGGAGCAGCAGUGGGAAUCUAGAC